UGCAAGUCGAGCGAACCGACGGGAGCUUGCUCCCUUAGGUCAGCGGCGGACGGGUGAGUAACACGUGGGUAACCUGCCUGUAAGACUGGGAUAACUCCGGGAAACCGGGGCUAAUACCGGAUGCUUGAUUGAACCGCAUGGUUCAAUCAUAAAAGGCGGCUUCGGCUGCCGUUUACAGAUGGACCCGCGGCGCAUUAGCUAGUUGGUGAGGUAACGGCUCACCAAGGCGACGAUGCGUAGCCGACCUGAGAGGGUGAUCGGCCACACUGGGACUGAGACACGGCCCAGACUCCUACGGGAGGCAGCAGUAGGGAAUCUUCCGCAAUGGACGAGAGUCUGACGGAGCAACGCCGCGUGAGUGAUGAAUGUUUUCGGAUCGUAGAGCUCUGUUGUUAGGGAAGAACAAGUACCGUUCGAAUAGGGCGGUACCUUGACGGUACCUAACCAGAAAGCCACGGCUAACUACGUGCCAGCAGCCGCGGUAAUA
This 487-nucleotide ribosomal RNA is filed under the name Bacillus sp. PSu1_34. Its description in RNAcentral is "bacterial SSU rRNA". It matches the Rfam family "Bacterial small subunit ribosomal RNA", at positions 56 to 525 of the family's 1533-position model. The record is from RNAcentral. Lineage: Bacteria; Bacillati; Bacillota; Bacilli; Caryophanales; Bacillaceae.